RNAcentral lists this ribosomal RNA (406 nucleotides) under uncultured bacterium. Its description in RNAcentral is "bacterial SSU rRNA". It matches the Rfam family "Bacterial small subunit ribosomal RNA", at positions 355 to 776 of the family's 1533-position model. The record is from RNAcentral.
UAGGGAAUCUUGCGCAAUGGGCGAAAGCCUGACGCAGCAACGCCGCGUGGGGGAUGAAGGCCUUCGGGUUGUAAACUCCUUUCAGUGGGAACGAAAUUGACGGUACCCACAGAAGAAGCCCCGGCCAACUACGUGCCGGCAGCCGCGGUGAUACGUAGGGGGCGAGCGUUGUCCGGAUUUAUUGGGCGUAAAGAGCUCGUAGGCGGCUUGGCAAGUCGGCGUGUGAAACCCCCAGGCUUAACCUGGGGACGCCACUCGAAACUGCCAUGGCUAGAGUCCGGUAGGGGAUCACGGAAUUCCUGGUGUAGCGGUGAAAUGCGCAGAUAUCAGGAGGAACACCAGUGGCGAAGGCGGUGAUCUGGGCCGGAACUGACGCUGAGGAGCGAAAGCGUGGGGAGCGAACAGG